CAGUAGCCGCGGGAAUACGGAGGGUGCAAGCGUUAAUCGGAAUUACUGGGCGUAAAGCGCACGCAGGCGGUCUGACAAGUCAGAUGUGAAAUCCCCGGGCUUAACCUGGGAACUGCAUUUGAAACUGUCAGGCUGGAGUCUUGUAGAGGGGGGUGGAAUUCCAGGUGUAGCGGUGAAAUGCGUAGAGAUCUGGAGGAAUACCGGUGGCGAAGGCGGCCCCCUGGACAAAGACUGACGCUCAGGUGCGAAAGCGUGGGGAGCAAACAGGAUUAGAACCCGAGUAGUCCCUGUCUCUUAUACA
RNAcentral lists this ribosomal RNA (301 nucleotides) under uncultured bacterium. RNAcentral describes it as "partial 16S ribosomal RNA". It matches the Rfam family "Bacterial small subunit ribosomal RNA", at positions 509 to 808 of the family's 1533-position model. The record is from RNAcentral.